UACAGAGGUCUCAAGCGUUGUUCGGAUUCAUUGGGCGUAAAGGGUGCGUAGGUGGCGCGGUAAGUCGGGUGUGAAAUUUCGGAGCUUAACUCCGAAACUGCAUUCGAUACUGCCGUGCUUGAGGACUGGAGAGGAGACUGGAAUUUACGGUGUAGCAGUGAAAUGCGUAGAUAUCGUAAGGAAGACCAGUGACGAAGGCGGGUCUCUGGACAGUUCCUGACACUGAGGCACGAAGGCCAGGGGAGCAAACGGG
Molecule: ribosomal RNA, 253 nt
Filed under: uncultured bacterium
Lineage: Bacteria
Description: partial 16S ribosomal RNA
Rfam family: Bacterial small subunit ribosomal RNA
Source: RNAcentral